RNAcentral lists this ribosomal RNA (253 nucleotides) under uncultured bacterium. RNAcentral's name for it is "partial 16S ribosomal RNA". It matches the Rfam family "Bacterial small subunit ribosomal RNA", at positions 524 to 776 of the family's 1533-position model. RNAcentral also lists the same sequence under 1 other name. The record is from RNAcentral.
UACGAAGGUCCCAAGCGUUAUCCGGAUUUAUUGGGUUUAAAGGGUGCGUAGGCGGCUUAUUAAGUCAGUGGUGAAAGCCCCAAGCUUAACUUGGGAAUUGCCAUUGAUACUGAUGAGCUUGAGUAGAUUUGAGGCGGGCGGAAUGUGUCGUGUAGCGGUGAAAUGCUUAGAUAUGACACAGAACACCAAUUGCGUAGGCAGCUCGCUAAACUCUUACUGACGCUGAGGCACGAAAGCAUGGGGAUCAAACAGG